This 357-nucleotide ribosomal RNA is filed under the name uncultured bacterium. Its description in RNAcentral is "bacterial SSU rRNA". It matches the Rfam family "Bacterial small subunit ribosomal RNA", at positions 8 to 353 of the family's 1533-position model. The record is from RNAcentral.
AGAGUUUGAUCCUGGCUCAGGAUGAACGCUAGCUACAGGCUUAACACAUGCAAGUCGAGGGAAACGGAUAUUGGAAGCUUGCUUCCGAUAGGCGUCGACCGGCGGCACGGGUGAGUAACGCGUAUCCAGCCUGCCCACCACUUGGGGAUAACCUUGCGAAAGUAAGACUAAUACCCAAUGAUAUCUCUAGAAGACAUCUGAAAGAGAUUAAAGAUUUAUCGGUGAUGGAUGGGGAUGCGUCUGAUUAGCUUGUUGGCGGGGUAACGGCCCACCAAGGCAACGAUCAGUAGGGGUUCUGAGAGGAAGGUCCCCCACAUUGGAACUGAGACACGGUCCAAACUCCUACGGGAGGCAGCA